RNAcentral lists this long non-coding RNA (539 nucleotides) under Capsicum annuum. Its description in RNAcentral is "long non-coding RNA (CANN_LNC017312)". Lineage: Eukaryota; Viridiplantae; Streptophyta; Magnoliopsida; Solanales; Solanaceae. The record is from RNAcentral.
UGUUGUUUGAAAGUCCUUGAGUCAAGUCCUGUCUCUAAGACAAUAGUUGUAGAAUAUCUCAUAAAUGCAACAUAACGUGGUAGAGUCAACCAUUACCCGUGUGGUAUAAUUUAUUGUUUAAAAGUCCCUUAGCUAAGUCUUUCCUCUAAGGUAAGAGUUAUAAAAUAUCUCAUAAAACAAAAUACAAUGCGGUAGUGUGGACUCUUGCCCUUGAAAUAUAACUUGUUUGAAAGUCAAAAGUCUUGCCUCUACAAUGUAGUAGUGUCAACUCUUGCUCAUGAGAUGUAACUUGAAUGAAAGAAAUCGAAGAAAAGAACAAAAAUAAUAAAAAUUGCGAAAAAAGAAGAAAAUGAAGAAAAUAUUAAAAAAGCAAAAAUCAAAGAAAAUGUAGAAGUUGAGAGAGAAUAGGAAAAAAAUAAAGGUUGAUAAAAAUAAAAAUAAAAAGAUUAAAUAAAAAUAAAGGUCGAGAUUUUUUAUUUUUUUUAAAUCAAAGAAAAAUAAAAAACUUUAUUUUUUUUAAUAAAAAUAGAGUUGAAAGG